Molecule: long non-coding RNA, 1602 nt
Organism: Silurus meridionalis
Lineage: Eukaryota; Metazoa; Chordata; Actinopteri; Siluriformes; Siluridae
Exons: 4
Source: RefSeq, a predicted model, not a curated record
ACCCCUGAUACAAAAUGUAAUAAUUGAAUACCUGUUUAUGCACCAACUAAAAGCAGACACUGAGUUAAAGGUUAUAGGUUAUAGGUUACAUUAAAUGUAAGUGGUAUAGUGUUUGUGAGACAGUGUUUAAACAUGAUGCAAUUACUUUAUAUAUCUUCAGUAACCUCUCUGUUCUGGUCAGGGUUGGAGUGGAUCUGGACCUUGUACCUGAAAUACUUGGUUUGAGAUGGAACUAAACCCUGAACAGGACACUACUCAAACACAGACGUUUUAUUAACAUUCUUGUAAUUAUGAAUAAUAUUUGUCAUGUAAUUAUAUUCAUACAUCCAAACUACUGAAUGCAGAUAAAGUGGAUGUGCAUGUGCAUGUGGUAUCUUAAUAAUACUGUGCUAAAAACAAACAAACAAACAAACAAACAAACAAACAAACCAAAAAAAGACACAAAAAGACAGUAGCAAAAAUGUGUAAACCACAAAGAUUUCCUAUUAAUGAUGUCUGUGCAGAAAUAGGAAAUGCUGCACUUUUAGAUAGUGGUUUGAGUUUUGAGUUCAGCUGCAACAGUUAACGAACUUGUCUUUUCUCACUGACGGGUGCCAGUGAUUUAGAAGUUAAUAUCGCACUUUUAAAAAGCAUUAAAUCAUUAAGAUAUGGUUCGAAUGUUUUCUGUUUUCAUUGCUUGCUGAUGCACUGCUGUAAAAAAAAAAAAGUGUGAAAGUAACACCUCCAUUUCCUUUGGUGAAAUGUCAGUUCAAAACCACGUUCAUAUCAGACAUCUGCCUACACACGUACCAGCAGCUGUGGAUUGGAACAAUGAACGUCACUUCAAAAUGGACGUACGUUGUUUUAUGUCUGGCGAUAUCAAUUAUCCUGGUUGUGAUGUAUACACUUGCAGUCUUGCUUUUCAGAAUGAUGCGUAUACGUAGAAGCAGAUCACUGAGCUCCAGUAAAGAAAAGGUUCGUGCCAAAACAAGAGAAAACAUCAAGAGAAGUGCAACUUAUAAAGAGAAAUUAAACUCUGUCUAUAUUCAAUGGACACCUGAUGAGUAUACAUCAGACUAACCAAACUAUACACACUAUAUACACACUAUAUAUUGUUCUGUUCAUUUAUGUAUAUAAGAUUUAUGUAUAUAACAUAUUUUUGUACUCACAAUAUAUUUAGAUUUAUAAUUCAGACUUUUUUAACCUGUAAACUCGAUUAGAUGUCAUUCUAAUUUUGGCCAAUAGGGGGUGUAGUUACAUUGUCUGGGCUAAUGAGCAGUUACUGUAUUCUAUUUUCUUUUUAUAUAUAUAUAUAUACACACACACACACAUUGUUUUAUGACAUUUAAUGACUGAUUACAUUUUGAUCUGUGAAAUAAAAACCAAACAACAAAAUAUUUUUUCUUUUUUUUAAAUUAACUGAUGAUCAGCAGCAAAAUUGCUUUAAAUAAAAAUGCAAUUAAAUUGCUUUGUCCCCACUUAAUCUUUGACCUUUAUCUAUCUACAUUCAUAUAAAAACAAGAUCUAGUGGUGCACAGCUGAGACUUUUUUUUUAGAUUUUUUGUUAAAUAGAUGAAAAGAAGGAUUUGGUUUUAUGAACAUUUGAAAUGUUUCACUCAUUAA